GGACUACACGGGUAUCUAAUCCCGUUUGCUCCCCUAGCUUUCGCGCCUCAGCGUCAGAAGAGAUCCAGUGCGCCGCUUUCGCCUCCGGCGUUCCUUCCAAUAUCAACGCAUUUCACCGCUCCACUGGAAGUUCCGCACACCCCUAUCUCCCUCGAGACCAACAGUAUCGAAGGCACUUCUGCAGUUAAGCUGCAGGAUUUCACCCCCGACUUGUUGGACCGCCUACGCGCCCUUUAAGCCCAGUGAUUCCGAACAACGUUAGGACAGUUCGUCUUACCGCGGCGGCUGGCAC
RNAcentral lists this ribosomal RNA (292 nucleotides) under uncultured Planctomycetota bacterium. RNAcentral describes it as "uncultured planctomycete partial 16S ribosomal RNA". The record is from RNAcentral. Lineage: Bacteria; Pseudomonadati; Planctomycetota.